RNAcentral lists this ribosomal RNA (661 nucleotides) under uncultured Lachnospiraceae bacterium. RNAcentral's name for it is "bacterial SSU rRNA". It matches the Rfam family "Bacterial small subunit ribosomal RNA", at positions 59 to 720 of the family's 1533-position model. Lineage: Bacteria; Bacillati; Bacillota; Clostridia; Lachnospirales; Lachnospiraceae. The record is from RNAcentral.
AAGUCGAACGAAGCAAUUAAAAUGAAGUUUUCGGAUGGAUUUUUGAUUGACUGAGUGGCGGACGGGUGAGUAACGCGUGGAUAACCUGCCUCACACUGGGGGAUAACAGUUAGAAAUGACUGCUAAUACCGCAUAAGCGCACAGUACCGCAUGGUACGGUGUGAAAAACUCCGGUGGUGUGAGAUGGAUCCGCGUCUGAUUAGCCAGUUGGCGGGGUAACGGCCCACCAAAGCGACGAUCAGUAGCCGACCUGAGAAGGUGACCGGCCACAUUGGGACUGAGACACGGCCCAAACUCCUACGGGAGGCAGCAGUGGGGAAUAUUGCACAAUGGGCGAAAGCCUGAUGCAGCGACGCCGCGUGAGUGAAGAAGUAUUUCGGUAUGUAAAGCUCUAUCAGCAGGGAAGAAAAUGACGGUACCCGACUAAGAAGCCCCGGCUAACUACGUGCCAGCAGCCGCGGUAAUACGUAGGGGGCAAGCGUUAUCCGGAUUUACUGGGUGUAAAGGGAGCGUAGACGGCGAAGCAAGUCUGAAGUGAAAACCCAGGGCUCAACCCUGGGACUGCUUUGGAAACUGUUUUGCUAGAGUGUCGGAGAGGUAAGUGGAAUUCCUAGUGUAGCGGUGAAAUGCGUAGAUAUUAGGAGGAACACCAGUGGCGAAG